This is a non-coding RNA of Potamilus streckersoni, 74 nucleotides long. The record is from the annotation of a GenBank genome assembly. NCBI's taxonomy places the organism in Eukaryota, Metazoa, Mollusca, Bivalvia, Unionida, Unionidae.
ACUUCAGUGGCCUAGUGGUCAGAGCGUCCGCCUCCGAUACGGGGGUCGCGGGAUCAAACCCCGGUCUAGACAUA